Molecule: ribosomal RNA, 440 nt
Filed under: uncultured bacterium
Lineage: Bacteria
Description: partial 16S ribosomal RNA
Rfam family: Bacterial small subunit ribosomal RNA
Source: RNAcentral
CCUACGGGGGGCAGCAGUGGGGAAUAUUGCACAAUGGGGGAAACCCUGAUGCAGCAACGCCGCGUGAGCGAUGAAGGCCGUCGGGUCGUAAAGCUCUGUCCUAAGGGAAGAAUACUGACGGUACCUUAGGAGGAAGCUCCGGUUAACUACGUGCCAGCAGCCGGGGUAAUACGCUGGGGGUUAGCAUUAUCCGGAAUUACUGGGCGUAAAGGGGGUGUAGGCGGCCCUUCAAUUCAGAGGUGAAAGGCUACGGCUCAACCGUGGUAAGGCUUUGAAGCUGUAGGGGUUGAGUGCAGGAGAGGAGAGUGGAAUUCCCAUUGUAGGGGUGAAAUGCGUAGAAAUUGGGAAGAACACCAGUAGCGUGGGCGGCUCUCUGGACUGUAACUGACGCCGAGGCACGAAAGCGGGGGGAGCAAACAGGAUGAGAUACACGAGUAGAC